RNAcentral lists this unclassified non-coding RNA (379 nucleotides) under uncultured Lysobacteraceae bacterium. Its description in RNAcentral is "uncultured Xanthomonadaceae bacterium contains 16S-23S intergenic spacer region". The record is from RNAcentral. Lineage: Bacteria; Pseudomonadati; Pseudomonadota; Gammaproteobacteria; Lysobacterales; Lysobacteraceae.
UCCGGUUUGUCACCGGCGGUCUCCCUAGAGUUCCCACCUUUACGUGCUGGCAACUAGGGACAAGGGUUGCGCUCGUUGCGGGACUUAACCCAACAUCUCACGACACGAGCUGACGACAGCCAUGCAGCACCUGUCUCGCGGCUCCCGAAGGCACCAAGGCAUCUCUGCCAAGUUCCGCGGAUGUCAAGGCCAGGUAAGGUUCUUCGCGUUGCAUCGAAUUAAACCACAUACUCCACCGCUUGUGCGGGCCCCCGUCAAUUCCUUUGAGUUUCAGUCUUGCGACCGUACUCCCCAGGCGGCGAACUUAACGCGUUAGCUUCGAUACUGAAGGGCAAGUUCCCCCCAACAUCCAGUUCGCAUCGUUUAGGGCGUGGACUAC